UGACUUUGAAACUCUGAUGUGAUUGUCUUC
Molecule: non-coding RNA, 30 nt
Filed under: Rattus norvegicus (Norway rat)
Lineage: Eukaryota; Metazoa; Chordata; Mammalia; Rodentia; Muridae
Source: RNAcentral